RNAcentral lists this ribosomal RNA (1235 nucleotides) under metagenome. RNAcentral describes it as "bacterial LSU rRNA". It matches the Rfam family "Bacterial large subunit ribosomal RNA", at positions 1564 to 2808 of the family's 2925-position model. The record is from RNAcentral.
UGAAUACGAGACGCUAAGGCGUCGAAGUAGUGUAUGUCAUACUUCCAAGAAAAGCUUGCACUGUCAUAGAUAAAAAACGCCUGUACCAUAACCGACACAGGUGGGUAGGUAGAGUAUACUAAGGGGCGCGAGAUAACUCUCUCUAAGGAACUCGGCAAAAUAACUCCGUAACUUCGGGAGAAGGAGUGCCUUAUUCGUAAGGUUGCAAUAACAAGAUCCAAGCAACUGUUUAUCAAAAACACAGGUCUCCGCUAAGUCGUAAGACGAUGUAUGGGGGCUGACGCCUGCCCAGUGCCAGAAGGUUAAAGAAGUUGGUUAGCAAUUGCGAAGCUGAUAACUGAAGCCCUGGUGAACGGCGGCCGUAACAAUAACGGUCCUAAGGUAGCGAAAUUCCUUGUCGGGUAAGUUCCGACCCGCACGAAAGGCGUAAUGAUUUGGAUACUGUCUCGGAGAGGGGCUCGGUGAAAUAGACUUGUCUGUGAAGAUGCGGACUACCUGCACCAGGACAGAAAGACCCUAUGAAGCUUUACUGUAACUUGAAAUUGAAAUUGGACUUUAUUCGCGCAGUAUAGGUGGGAGGCGUUGAUUAUAAUCUUGUGGGAUUAUUGGAGCCAUCAGUGAGAUACCACUCUUGUAAUGUUAGAUUUCUAACUUUGAAUCAUUAUCUGGUCAAAGAACAGUUUCAGGCGGGCAGUUUGACUGGGGCGGUCGCCUCCUAAACGGUAACGGAGGCGUACAAAGGUUUCCUCUGAACGGUUAGAAAUCGUAUCUAGAGUGUAAAGGCAUAAGGAAGCUUGACUGUGAGACCUACAAGUCGAGCAGGGACGAAAGUCGGUCUUAGUGAUCUGACGGUACUGAGUGGAAAGGCCGUCACUCAACGGAUAAAAGUUACUCUAAGGAUAACAGGCUGAUCUCCCCCAAGAGUUCACAUCGACGGGGAGGUUUGGCACCUCGAUGUCGGCUCAUCGCAUCCUGGGGCGGUAGUACGUCCCAAGGGUUGGGCUGUUCGCCCAUGAAAGCGGUACGCGAGCUGGGUUCAGAACGUCGUGAGACAGUUCGGUCCAUAUCCGGUGUAGGCGUUAGAAUAUUGAGAGGAGCCUUCUUUAGUACGAGAGGACCGAGGAGGACAUACCUCUGGUGUACCAGUUAUCGUGCCAACGGUAAACGCUGGGUAGCUAUGUAUGGAGUGGAUAACCGCUGAAAGCAUCUAAGUGGGAAGCCCACCUCAAGAUAAG